UACGGAGGAUGCAAGCGUUAUCCGGAUUUAUUGGGCGUAAAGAGCGCGCAGGUGGUUGAUUAAGUCUGAUGUGAAAGCCCACGGCUUAACCGUGGAGGGUCAUUGGAAACUGGUCGACUUGAGUGCAGAAGAGGGAAGUGGAAUUCCAUGUGUAGCGGUGAAAUGCGUAGAGAUAUGGAGGAACACCAGUGGCGAAGGCGGCUUCCUGGUCUGUAACUGACACUGAGGCGCGAAAGCGUGGGGAGCAAACAGGAUUAGAUA
RNAcentral lists this ribosomal RNA (261 nucleotides) under uncultured prokaryote. Its description in RNAcentral is "partial 16S ribosomal RNA". It matches the Rfam family "Bacterial small subunit ribosomal RNA", at positions 524 to 784 of the family's 1533-position model. The record is from RNAcentral.